RNAcentral lists this ribosomal RNA (250 nucleotides) under uncultured bacterium. RNAcentral describes it as "partial 16S ribosomal RNA". It matches the Rfam family "Bacterial small subunit ribosomal RNA", at positions 30 to 280 of the family's 1533-position model. The record is from RNAcentral.
AUUGAACGCUGGCGGCAUGCCUUACACAUGCAAGUCGAACGGCAGCACGGGAGCAAUCCUGGUGGCGAGUGGCGAACGGGUGAGUAAAGUAUCGGAACGUACCUUUCAGUGGGGGAUAACGUAGCGAAAGUUACGCUAAUACCGCAUAUUCUGUGAGCAGGAAAGCAGGGGAUCGCAAGACCUUGCGCUGAUGGAGCGGCCGAUAUCAGAUUAGCUAGUUGGUGAGGUAAAAGCUCACCAAGGCGACGAU